UUUCGCAAUGCCCGAAAGGGUGACGAAGCGACGCCGCGUGCGGGAAGAAGGCCUUCGGGUUGUAAACCGCUGUCGGGAGUUAAGAAAUGCAAGGGUGUUAAUAGUAUCCUUGCUUGACUAAGGCUCCGGAGGAAGCCACGGCUAACUCUGUGCCAGCAGCCGCGGUAAUACAGAGGUGGCAAGCGUUGUUCGGAAUUAUUGGGCGUAAAGAGCACGUAGGCGGCUGUGUGAGUCGGUUGUGAAAGCCUUCCGCUCAACGGGAGAACGGCAUCCGAUACUGCAUAGCUUGAGUGCGGGAGGGGAGUGUGGAACUUCUGGUGGAGCGGUGAAAUGCGUAGAUAUCAGAAGGAACACCGGCGGCGAAGGCGACUCUCUGGCCCGUAACUGACGCUGAGUGUGCGAAAGCUAGGGGAGCAAACGGGAUUAGAUACCCCGGUAGUCCUAGCCGUAAACGAUGGGCACUAAGUAGAGGGGUUUUA
RNAcentral lists this ribosomal RNA (479 nucleotides) under uncultured anaerobic ammonium-oxidizing bacterium. RNAcentral's name for it is "bacterial SSU rRNA". It matches the Rfam family "Bacterial small subunit ribosomal RNA", at positions 364 to 833 of the family's 1533-position model. The record is from RNAcentral.